Peromyscus californicus insignis is the source of this 1525-nucleotide long non-coding RNA. RefSeq lists it as uncharacterized. The record is from RefSeq and is a predicted model, not a curated record. The transcript is spliced from 2 exons. Lineage: Eukaryota; Metazoa; Chordata; Mammalia; Rodentia; Cricetidae.
CUUGGAUGUAGGGCAGUAUUCAUUUGACAGCUGCUCCCUCUCUGUAUAGAAAUUGAUUCUGGAGUCCAAUUCCAGGGCAAGGAGCAGGGAGGAACCAAAGACUGUGACCUUUAUUUCUCAUUUGUUUCUCCAGGAGGUAGGCCUUGCAAAAGGUUGACUCUCUUCCCUGCAAGCUGGCACUCUGUAGUCACUUAAAAUAGAAAUGUCAAGUGUUUUCUGUUUUCUUUCCAUCUCACUGCCCCGUCGGCCUUUUGUGGUCUAAUCAUCUAUGAGGUCUGGAUACCAAAUGGGGCGACCAGGAGUGGACAUUCCAGGACAGUUAACUAUCUGGGGGCUGGGUAUCAAAGGGACGGUUCUUCACCUCCCUGGUCACUGUAGUACUCCCGGGAAUCUAGGUUUCCCUGCUUGUAAUUCUGCCAAGAGACAAUCUGAUAGAAGUUAGAGCUGAGGAGGCAGGUGAAAUUACACUGCAGCGCGUUAGUGGAUUCUAUCUGAACUGCUACAUCCUGCUCCAGGGUAAACCCACAUUGUACAGUGGCCUGAUUUGAAAAGUGACUCUCCAACUUUUUUUUUAAAUUCCAUUAGUCCCUCUUAUUUGACUUUUUAGAUCCUGAAUCUCACCUCUGCUUUUGACUUUGGGGUUUCACAGGAGAGAAAACGGGGGGCAUAACACACAAACUGCUUUACAGAAUUGCAAACGCUGUGGUGCUAUGGUUGCUUCCGAAGAAUCUUUCCACGACUCUGAAGGCCGGGAAGCACACGCCAACUGCAGCCAACUGCAACAUCACAGCCUUGCAAUGAAGUAAAAGUCCCUCAAAUUCCACCGGCCCGCAGGGCGCUCUAGAUACUGUCAGCUCCGGGCCGCUGGCGAGCCCAGCGCGCGCAGCGGGUGACAACCGUCUUUAUUUGGGCUGGGACACCCAGAGGCCUACAAAUAAACACUCGUGGCAUCAGGAUCGGCAGCCCUCUGGCCCAGGGCUCAGCCACGACGAACCCGGGCCAAGGACUCUUUGUUGGACACAACCUUUAUUUCUGACGAGGGACCGCAGGCAAGGGGCAAACCAGGACAGAGAGGGAAAAUAACAAAACAAAAAACCCGUGAGGACGUGAGGGAAAGAGACGGACGGCCAGGACUUGGAGGCAGGCGCCGGCCCCUCGACUCCCCCACAGAGGGAUGCCCCCUUUGAUGCCACUUGCUGGGUGCACACCCCGGACACUCCUCGCCUUGGGGAACACUUCGAGGAAGAUCUCACCUCGGUGAUGCUGGUCUCUUCUGAGCCACAGUUGAUUCUUCAGCCCCAGCAGAUCAUCGUCCAUUGUCCCAGCAAAGCAGAGGUGAAGCGUGACCCUAACUAGUCUUCUUAAAUAAAAACCCGGAGUCAGAUCUGGGGUAAAAACUGAGAGAUCAGAGAAGCAGAGCAGCAGCCACUAGAGACUUGUUACCUCUACAAAUCCUCAGACCAAAUGGGGAGCCGAGAUCUGUCUCCACCUCCCGAGUGCUGGGAUUAAAGGUGUGAGCCACCAC